This 492-nucleotide ribosomal RNA is filed under the name uncultured bacterium. Its description in RNAcentral is "partial 16S ribosomal RNA". It matches the Rfam family "Bacterial small subunit ribosomal RNA", at positions 29 to 507 of the family's 1533-position model. The record is from RNAcentral.
CGUGAACGCUGGCGGUAGGCCUAACACAUGCAAGUCGAACGGCAGCACAGUAAGAGCUUGCUCUUACGGGUGGCGAGUGGCGGACGGGUGAGGAAUACAUCGGAAUCUACUUUUUCGUGGGGGAUAACGUAGGGAAACUUACGCUAAUACCGCAUACGACCUACGGGUGAAAGCAGGGGAUCUUCGGACCUUGCGCGAUUGACUGAGCCGAUGUCGGAUUAGCUAGUUGGCGGGGUAAAGGCCCACCAAGGCGACGAUCCGUAGCUGGUCUGAGAGGAUGAUCAGCCACACUGGAACUGAGACACGGUCCAGACUCCUACGGGAGGCAGCAGUGGGGAAUAUUGGACAAUGGGCGCAAGCCUGAUCCAGCCAUACCGCGUGGGUGAAGAAGGCCUUCGGGUUGUAAAGCCCUUUUGUUGGGAAAGAAAAGCAGCAGGUUAAUACCCCGCUGUUCUGACGGUACCCAAAGAAUAAGCACCGGCUAACUUCGUG